GACAGAGGGUGCAAACGUUGUUCGGAAUUACUGGGCGUAAAGCGCGUGUAGGCGGCUUGGUAAGUCCGUUCUGAAAGCCCGGGGCUCAACCCCGGGAGGCGGAUGGAUACUGUCAAGCUUGAGUCCGGAAGAGGCGAGUGGAAUUCCCGGUGUAGCGGUGAAAUGCGCAGAUAUCGGGAGGAACACCAAUGGCGAAGGCAGCUCGCUGGGACGUGACUGACGCUGAGACGCGAAAGCGUGGGGAGCGAACAGG
RNAcentral lists this ribosomal RNA (253 nucleotides) under uncultured bacterium. RNAcentral's name for it is "partial 16S ribosomal RNA". It matches the Rfam family "Bacterial small subunit ribosomal RNA", at positions 524 to 776 of the family's 1533-position model. The record is from RNAcentral.